RNAcentral lists this non-coding RNA (232 nucleotides) under Aureoumbra lagunensis. Lineage: Eukaryota; Pelagophyceae; Sarcinochrysidales; Sarcinochrysidaceae. The record is from RNAcentral.
AAAUAUCCACACUUUACUGAAUGAAUAGAUUUAUUUAAAAAAAAAGAAAAAAUAAAAAUUACGUAUCCACCCCCCCGACUGCUUUCUCUUUUACAUCACAUUUUUUUCUUCUUCUCUUUUUCUUCUUCUUCUCGCCAUAAUUAUAUUGAUUUUUUCUAUUAAUCUUAUCUUAGAUAAUCAACCGCCCAUGUGCUGAGAAUAAAAAAAAGAACAUUAUUUAUUUAUGAUUUAU